UGGGGAAUUUUGGGCAAUGGGGGAAACCCUGACCCAGCAACGCCGCGUGAAGGAUGAAGUAUUUCGGUAUGUAAACUUCGAAAGAAUAGGAAGAAUAAAUGACGGUACUAUUUAUAAGGUCCGGCUAACUACGUGCCAGCAGCCGCGGUAAUACGUAGGGACCAAGCGUUGUUCGGAUUUACUGGGCGUAAAGGGCGCGUAGGCGGCAUGACAAGUCACUUGUGAAAUCUCUGGGCUUAACCCAGAACGGCCAAGUGAUACUGUCGCGCUAGAGUGCAGAAGGGGCAAUCGGAAUUCUUGGUGUAGCGGUGAAAUGCGUAGAUAUCAAGAGGAACACCUGAGGUGAAGACGGGUUGCUGGGCUGACACUGACGCUGAGGCGCGAAAGCCAGGGGAGCAAACGGGGAUUAGAUACCCCAGUAGUCCCUGAGCGGGCUGGCAAGGCGCAU
Molecule: ribosomal RNA, 448 nt
Filed under: uncultured bacterium
Lineage: Bacteria
Description: bacterial SSU rRNA
Rfam family: Bacterial small subunit ribosomal RNA
Source: RNAcentral